UUAAGCGACUAAGCGUACACGGUGGAUGCCCUGGCAGUCAGAGGCGAUGAAGGACGUGCUAAUCUGCGAUAAGCGUCGGUGAGGUGAUAUGAACCGUUAUAACCGGCGAUUUCCGAAUGGGGAAACCCAGUGUGUUUCGACACACUAUCAUUAACUGAAUCCAUAGGUUAAUGAGGCGAACCGGGGGAACUGAAACAUCUAAGUACCCCGAGGAAAAGAAAUCAACCGAGAUUCCCCCAGUAGCGGCGAGCGAACGGGGAGGAGCCCAGAGCCUGAAUCAGUGUGUGUGUUAGUGGAAGCGUCUGGAAAGGCGUGCGAUACAGGGUGACAGCCCCGUACACAAAAAUGCACAUAUUGUGAGCUCGAUGAGUAGGGCGGGACACGUGGUAUCCUGUCUGAAUAUGGGGGGACCAUCCUCCAAGGCUAAAUACUCCUGACUGACCGAUAGUGAACCAGUACCGUGAGGGAAAGGCGAAAAGAACCCCGGCGAGGGGAGUGAAAAAGAACCUGAAACCGUGUACGUACAAGCAGUGGGAGCCUCUUAAUGGGGUGACUGCGUACCUUUUGUAUAAUGGGUCAGCGACUUAUAUUCUGUAGCAAGGUUAACCGAAUAGGGGAGCCGAAGGGAAACCGAGUCUUAACUGGGCGUUAAGUUGCAGGGUAUAGACCCGAAACCCGGUGAUCUAGCCAUGGGCAGGUUGAAGGUUGGGUAACACUAACUGGAGGACCGAACCGACUAAUGUUGAAAAAUUAGCGGAUGACUUGUGGCUGGGGGUGAAAGGCCAAUCAAACCGGGAGAUAGCUGGUUCUCCCCGAAAGCUAUUUAGGUAGCGCCUCGUGAAUUCAUCUCCGGGGGUAGAGCACUGUUUCGGCAAGGGGGUCAUCCCGACUUACCAACCCGAUGCAAACUGCGAAUACCGGAGAAUGUUAUCACGGGAGACACACGGCGGGUGCUAACGUCCGUCGUGAAGAGGGAAACAACCCAGACCGCCAGCUAAGGUCCCAAAGUCAUGGUUAAGUGGGAAACGAUGUGGGAAGGCCCAGACAGCCAGGAUGUUGGCUUAGAAGCAGCCAUCAUUUAAAGAAAGCGUAAUAGCUCACUGGUCGAGUCGGCCUGCGCGGAAGAUGUAACGGGGCUAAACCAUGCACCGAAGCUGCGGCAGCGACACUAUGUGUUGUUGGGUAGGGGAGCGUUCUGUAAGCCUGUGAAGGUGGCCUGUGAGGGUUGCUGGAGGUAUCAGAAGUGCGAAUGCUGACAUAAGUAACGAUAAAGCGGGUGAAAAGCCCGCUCGCCGGAAGACCAAGGGUUCCUGUCCAACGUUAAUCGGGGCAGGGUGAGUCGACCCCUAAGGCGAGGCCGAAAGGCGUAGUCGAUGGGAAACAGGUUAAUAUUCCUGUACUUGGUGUUACUGCGAAGGGGGGACGGAGAAGGCUAUGUUGGCCGGGCGACGGUUGUCCCGGUUUAAGCGUGUAGGCUGGUUUUCCAGGCAAAUCCGGAAAACCAAGGCUGAGGCGUGAUGACGAGGCACUACGGUGCUGAAGCGACAAAUGCCCUGCUUCCAGGAAAAGCCUCUAAGCAUCAGGUAACAUCAAAUCGUACCCCAAACCGACACAGGUGGUCAGGUAGAGAAUACCAAGGCGCUUGAGAGAACUCGGGUGAAGGAACUAGGCAAAAUGGUGCCGUAACUUCGGGAGAAGGCACGCUGAUAUGUAGGUGAAGCGACUUGCUCGUGGAGCUGAAAUCAGUCGAAGAUACCAGCUGGCUGCAACUGUUUAUUAAAAACACAGCACUGUGCAAACACGAAAGUGGACGUAUACGGUGUGACGCCUGCCCGGUGCCGGAAGGUUAAUUGAUGGGGUUAGCGGCAACGCGAAGCUCUUGAUCGAAGCCCCGGUAAACGGCGGCCGUAACUAUAACGGUCCUAAGGUAGCGAAAUUCCUUGUCGGGUAAGUUCCGACCUGCACGAAUGGCGUAAUGAUGGCCAGGCUGUCUCCACCCGAGACUCAGUGAAAUUGAACUCGCUGUGAAGAUGCAGUGUACCCGCGGCAAGACGGAAAGACCCCGUGAACCUUUACUAUAGCUUGACACUGAACAUUGAGCCUUGAUGUGUAGGAUAGGUGGGAGGCUUUGAAGUGUGGACGCCAGUCUGCAUGGAGCCGACCUUGAAAUACCACCCUUUAAUGUUUGAUGUUCUAACGUUGGCCCGUAAUCCGGGUUGCGGACAGUGUCUGGUGGGUAGUUUGACUGGGGCGGUCUCCUCCUAAAGAGUAACGGAGGAGCACGAAGGUUGGCUAAUCCUGGUCGGACAUCAGGAGGUUAGUGCAAUGGCAUAAGCCAGCUUGACUGCGAGCGUGACGGCGCGAGCAGGUGCGAAAGCAGGUCAUAGUGAUCCGGUGGUUCUGAAUGGAAGGGCCAUCGCUCAACGGAUAAAAGGUACUCCGGGGAUAACAGGCUGAUACCGCCCAAGAGUUCAUAUCGACGGCGGUGUUUGGCACCUCGAUGUCGGCUCAUCACAUCCUGGGGCUGAAGUAGGUCCCAAGGGUAUGGCUGUUCGCCAUUUAAAGUGGUACGCGAGCUGGGUUUAGAACGUCGUGAGACAGUUCGGUCCCUAUCUGCCGUGGGCGCUGGAGAACUGAGGGGGGCUGUUCCUAGUACGAGAGGACCGGAGUGGACGCAUCACUGGUGUUCGGGUUGUCAUGCCAAUGGCACUGCCCGGUAGCUAAAUGCGGAAGAGAUAAGUGCUGAAAGCAUCUAAGCACGAAACUUGCCCCGAGAUGAGUUCUCCCUGACUCCUUGAGGGUCCUGAAGGAACGUUGAAGACGACGACGUUGAUAGGCCGGGUGUGUAAGCGCAGCGAUGCGUUGAGCUAACCGGUACUAAUGAACCGUGAGGCUUAACCUU
Molecule: ribosomal RNA, 2902 nt
Filed under: Escherichia coli
Lineage: Bacteria; Pseudomonadati; Pseudomonadota; Gammaproteobacteria; Enterobacterales; Enterobacteriaceae
Description: bacterial LSU rRNA
Rfam family: Bacterial large subunit ribosomal RNA
Source: RNAcentral